GCCGGCGUGGCUCAAUGGCAGAGCGUCACCUUCCUACAGUACAGUACAGUAACUAGGUGAAGGUUGAGGGUUCGACCCCCUCCGUCGGUA
Molecule: transfer RNA, 90 nt
Rfam family: tRNA
About the family: Transfer RNA (tRNA) molecules are approximately 80 nucleotides in length. Their secondary structure includes four short double-helical elements and three loops (D, anti-codon, and T loops).
Source: Rfam